CGCGGGGUGGAGCAGUCCGGUAGCUCGUUGGGCUCAUAACCCAAAGGUCACAGGUUCAAAUCCUGUCCCCGCUACCA
RNAcentral lists this transfer RNA (77 nucleotides) under Acidobacteria bacterium ADurb.Bin340. Its description in RNAcentral is "tRNA-Met". It matches the Rfam family "tRNA". From Rfam's summary of the family: Transfer RNA (tRNA) molecules are approximately 80 nucleotides in length. Their secondary structure includes four short double-helical elements and three loops (D, anti-codon, and T loops). RNAcentral also lists the same sequence under 4 other names. Lineage: Bacteria; Pseudomonadati; Acidobacteriota. The record is from RNAcentral.